This 372-nucleotide ribosomal RNA is filed under the name uncultured organism. RNAcentral's name for it is "bacterial SSU rRNA". It matches the Rfam family "Bacterial small subunit ribosomal RNA", at positions 526 to 896 of the family's 1533-position model. The record is from RNAcentral.
CAGGGGGUGCAAACGUUGCUCGGAAUUAUUGGGCGUAAAGCGCGCGUAGGCGGCUACUUAUGUCGGAUGUGAAAGCCCUUGGCUCAACUGAGGAAGCGCACCCGAAACUGAGUAGCUGGAGUACGAAAGAGGGUCGCGGAAUUCCCGGUGUAGAGGUGAAAUUCGUAGAUAUCGGGAGGAACACCGGUGGCGAAGGCGGCGACCUGGGUCGAUACUGACGCUGAGGCGCGAAAGCGUGGGGAGCAAACAGGAUUAGAUACCCUGGUAGUCCACGCCGUAAACGAUGAGUGCUAGAUGUUUCUGGUAUUGACCCCGGAGGCGUCGUAGCUAACGCGUUAAGCACUCCGCCUGGGGAGUACGGCCGCAAGGCUA